GAUCAUGGCUCAGGAUAAACGCUGGCGGCGCACAUAAGACAUGCAAGUCGAACGGACUUAACCAUUAGUUUACUAUUGGAGCGGUUAGUGGCGGACUGGUGAGUAACACGUAAGCAACCUGCCUAUCAGAGGGGAACAACAGUUAGAAAUGACUGCUAAUACCGCAUAUGCCUUAGAAUCACAUGAUUCAAAAGGGAAAGAAGCAAUUCGCUGAUAGAUGGGCUUGCGU
This 229-nucleotide ribosomal RNA is filed under the name uncultured bacterium. RNAcentral's name for it is "partial 16S ribosomal RNA". It matches the Rfam family "Bacterial small subunit ribosomal RNA", at positions 15 to 236 of the family's 1533-position model. The record is from RNAcentral.